This 761-nucleotide ribosomal RNA is filed under the name uncultured archaeon. RNAcentral describes it as "bacterial SSU rRNA". It matches the Rfam family "Archaeal small subunit ribosomal RNA", at positions 46 to 809 of the family's 1478-position model. The record is from RNAcentral.
UAGCCAUGCUAGCUCGAACGAGUUCACACUCGUGGCACAUAGCUCAGUAACACGUGGCCAAGCUACCCUUCAGUCAGCAAUACCCUCGGGAAAUUGAGGCUAAUAGCUGAUACGAAACAGACGCUGGAAUGCACUGUAUUCCAAAGACAUCGCUGAAGGAUGCGGCUGCGGCCGAUUAGGUAGACGGUGGGGUAACGGCCCACCGUGCCAGUAAUCGGUACGGGUGAUGAGAGUCAGAGCCCGGAGACGGAAUCUGAGACAAGAUUCCGGGCCCUACGGGGCGCAGCAGGCGCGAAACCUUUACACUGCACGAAAGUGCGAUAGGGGAAUCCCAAGUGCGAGGGCAUAUUAGCCCUCGCUUUUGUUGACUCUAAGGCGGUCAACGAAUAAGAGCUGGGCAAGACCGGUGCCAGCCGCCGCGGUAAUACCGGCAGCUCAAGUGAUGUCCCAUAUUAUUGGGCCUAAAGCGUCCGUAGCUGGCCGACCAAGUCUAUCGGGAAAUCCACCUGCCCAACAGGUGGGCGUCCGGUAGAAACUGGCCGGCUUGGAACCGGAAGGCUCAGAGAGUACGUCCGGGGUAGGAGUGAAAUCCCGUAAUCCCGGACGGACUACCGAUGGCGAAAGCACUCUGAGAAGACGGCUUCGACAGUGAGGGACGAAAGCUCGGGUCUCAAACCGGAUUAGAUACCCGGGUAGUCCGAGCCGUAAACAAUGCUCGUUAGGUGUGGCACCCACUACGAGUGGGUGCUGUGCCGCAGGGA